CGAAAGCCUGACGGAGCAACGCCGCGUGUGGGAAGAAGGCCUUUGGGCUGUCAACCAUUUUUCUCAGGGAAGAAGUUCUGACGGUACCUGAGGAAUCAGCCUCGGCUAACUCCGUGCCAGCAGCCGCGGUAAUACGGAGGAGGCAAGCGUUAUCCGGAAUUAUUGGGCGUAAAGCGUCCGCAGGGGGCACAUCAAGUCUGCUGUUAAAGGCUGGAGCUUAACUCCGGUAGAGCAGUGGAAACUGGUGUGCUAGAGGGCGACAGGGGUAGAGGGAAUUCCCAGUGUAGCGGUGAAAUGCGUAGAGAUUGGGAAGAACACCGGUGGCUAAAGCGCUCUACUGGGUCGCACCUGACCCUGAGGGACGAAAGCCAGGGGAGCG
This 379-nucleotide ribosomal RNA is filed under the name uncultured cyanobacterium. RNAcentral's name for it is "bacterial SSU rRNA". It matches the Rfam family "Bacterial small subunit ribosomal RNA", at positions 376 to 770 of the family's 1533-position model. The record is from RNAcentral. Lineage: Bacteria; Bacillati; Cyanobacteriota.